UAGGUAAUCUUCGGCAAUGGACGAAAGUCUGACCGAGCAACGCCGCGUGAGUGAAGAAGGUUUUCGGAUCGUAAAACUCUGUUGUUAGAGAAGAACAAGGACGUUAGUAACUGAACGUCCCCUGACGGUAUCUAACCAGAAAGCCACGGCUAACUACGUGCCAGCAGCCGCGGUAAUACGUAGGUGGCAAGCGUUGUCCGGAUUUAUUGGGCGUAAAGCGAGCGCAGGCGGUUUCUUAAGUCUGAUGUGAAAGCCCCCGGCUCAACCGGGGAGGGUCAUUGGAAACUGGGAGACUUGAGUGCAGAAGAGGAGAGUGGAAUUCCAUGUGUAGCGGUGAAAUGCGUAGAUAUAUGGAGGAACACCAGUGGCGAAGGCGGCUCUCUGGUCUGUAACUGACGCUGAGGCUCGAAAGCGUGGGGAGCAAACAGG
RNAcentral lists this ribosomal RNA (429 nucleotides) under Gemmatimonadota bacterium. RNAcentral describes it as "Gemmatimonadetes bacterium partial 16S ribosomal RNA". It matches the Rfam family "Bacterial small subunit ribosomal RNA", at positions 355 to 776 of the family's 1533-position model. Lineage: Bacteria; Pseudomonadati; Gemmatimonadota. The record is from RNAcentral.